RNAcentral lists this long non-coding RNA (231 nucleotides) under Nicotiana benthamiana. RNAcentral's name for it is "long non-coding RNA (NBEN_LNC018943)". Lineage: Eukaryota; Viridiplantae; Streptophyta; Magnoliopsida; Solanales; Solanaceae. The record is from RNAcentral.
CCUUUAUGGUGUGACUUAUUAAUUUGAUACCCCUAUAAUUGUUGCAGCACUGGAUGUCCCCUUUGUUCUUGGACAAGGGCACCACUGUACUCCAUCUCCACUCGUCCGGCAUCCUUUUGGUCCUGAAGAUCGCUUGAACAACCUGGAGAGCCACUCCCCCCCAGACUUACCCAUGCACUUCCAGAACUCCACCGGGAUCUCGUCAGGCCCGGUCGCUUGACCCCUACUCAU